Molecule: ribosomal RNA, 497 nt
Filed under: uncultured bacterium
Lineage: Bacteria
Description: partial 16S ribosomal RNA
Rfam family: Bacterial small subunit ribosomal RNA
Source: RNAcentral
GAUGAACGCUGGCGGCGUGCCUAAUACAUGCAAGUCGAGCGAACAGACGAGGAGCUUGCUCCUUCGACGUUAGCGGCGGACGGGUGAGUAACACGUAGGUAACCUACCUAUAAGACUGGGAUAACUUCGGGAAACCGGAGCUAAUACCGGAUAAUAUUUCGAACCGCAUGGUUCGAUAGUGAAAGAUGGCUUUGCUAUCACUUAUAGAUGUACCUGCGCCGUAUUAGCUAGUUGGUAAGGUAACGGCUUACCAAGGCAACGAUACGUAGCCGACCUGAGAGGGUGAUCGGCCACACUGGAACUGAGACACGGUCCAGACUCCUACGGGAGGCAGCAGUAGGGAAUCUUCCGCAAAGGGCGAAAGCCUGACGGAGCAACGCCGCGUGAGUGAUGAAGGUCUUCGGAUCGUAAAACUCUGUUAUUAGGGAAGAACAAACGUGUAAGUAACUGUGCACGUCUUGACGGUACCUAAUCAGAAAGCCACGGCUAACUACGUG